This 615-nucleotide ribosomal RNA is filed under the name uncultured bacterium. RNAcentral's name for it is "bacterial SSU rRNA". It matches the Rfam family "Bacterial small subunit ribosomal RNA", at positions 56 to 656 of the family's 1533-position model. The record is from RNAcentral.
UGCAAGUCGUACGUGAAAGUCCUUCGGGAUGAGUAAAGUGGCGCACGGGUGAGUAACACGUGAGUUAUCUGCCUUCGGGUGGGGAAUACCAACCGGAAACGGUUGUUAAUACCGCAUAACGCUUGCGCUGUAAUGGCGUAUGUUAAAGCGGGGGAUCAGCAAUGACCUCGCGCCUGAAGAGGAGCUCGCGGCAGAUUAGGUAGUUGGUGAGGUAAUGGCUCACCAAGCCUGCGAUCUGUAACCGGCCUGAGAGGGCGGUCGGUCACACUGACACUGACAUACGGGUCAGACUCCUACGGGAGGCAGCAGUCGGUAAUUUUGGGCAAUGGGCGAAAGCCUGACCCAGCAACGCCGCGUGAAGGAUGAAGCAUUUCGGUGUGUAAACUUCGCAAGAAUAGGAAGAAUAAGUUUGAACAAAUAAUUCAAACGAUGACGGUACUAUUUAUAAGCUCCGGCUAACUUCGUGCCAGCAGCCGCGGUAAUACGAGGGGAGCAAGCGUUGUUCGGAUUUACUGGGCGUAAAGGGUGCGUAGGCGGCACCACAAGUCACUUGUGAAAUCUUUGGGCUUAACCCAAAGCGGCCAAGUGAUACUGUGGAGCUAGAGUGCAGAAGGG